ACAUAAAGAAUAUGUGUGGAUCAAGCACUUCAACACAGAUUCAAUUCCAUGCCAAAGACUUCCCGCUGCAGUUGUAUAAACUCCAAAUUCUGCUAGUGUAGUUAUUAGAAACACUCCACUCAUCUACCAACAAGUAACAGUCUGGGGUUUGGCUUGUGCCAGCAGAGGGAGCAAAAGUAAAACAGCUUCUCAGUUCCAAGUUUGUGCUAAAUGUUGCGCUGGAUGAUCAGCAAAGCGGUGGCAGAUUUUGUUUUGUAUCCUGUAUGUAGCACAUGAUUUGAAGGCUGCAGAGGAAAAGAGGUAGAAGGUAUUUCUACACACCAGAUGGGUGGCGAAAUACACCUGUGCUUUCACUGAAUGUGUUACAUAGCAGGCCAGCCACAAAAAGAACCCAGCCCCCAAACAUAUACUUAAAUGCCAAAACACCAAUAUAUCUACUGAAAUUGGGAUAUUAAAUCAGACACUAGAAAACACCCGUGCUCAUCUGCUCAUUAUCACUUUCUAUGAACCAAUGUUGACAUCAGUUUAAUCAGCUUAGUCGGAAAACUGAACAGCAUCCAAAAAUAGAAUAUUGCCUCUUAAUUACCAACAAACUGGCAUGAAGAGUAGAC
Long non-coding RNA from Athene cunicularia (burrowing owl), 611 nucleotides. RefSeq lists it as uncharacterized. The transcript has 3 exons. The record is from RefSeq and is a predicted model, not a curated record. NCBI's taxonomy places the organism in Eukaryota, Metazoa, Chordata, Aves, Strigiformes, Strigidae.